RNAcentral lists this ribosomal RNA (253 nucleotides) under uncultured bacterium. Its description in RNAcentral is "partial 16S ribosomal RNA". It matches the Rfam family "Bacterial small subunit ribosomal RNA", at positions 524 to 776 of the family's 1533-position model. The record is from RNAcentral.
UACGUAGGGUGCGAGCGUUAAUCGGAAUUACUGGGCGUAAAGCGUGCGCAGGCGGUUUUGUAAGCCAGGUGUGAAAGCCCCGGGCUCAACCUGGGAAUGGCAUUUGGGACUGCAAGGCUGGAGUGUGGCAGAGGAGACUGGAAUUCCCGGUGUAGCAGUGAAAUGCGUAGAUAUCGGGAGGAAUACCGAUGGCGAAGGCAGGUCUCUGGGCUAUAACUGACGCUCAUGCACGAAAGCGUGGGGAGCAAACAGG